GUCACUUUGCCGGAGUGGUUAACGGGAUCGCCUGCUAUUCCAGCUGCUAGCGGUUGUGCUUUGCACGCGAGUGUUCGAAUCGCUCAGGUGACG
This 93-nucleotide transfer RNA is filed under the name Wolfiporia cocos MD-104 SS10. RNAcentral's name for it is "tRNA-Ser". It matches the Rfam family "tRNA". From Rfam's summary of the family: Transfer RNA (tRNA) molecules are approximately 80 nucleotides in length. Their secondary structure includes four short double-helical elements and three loops (D, anti-codon, and T loops). The record is from RNAcentral. Lineage: Eukaryota; Fungi; Basidiomycota; Agaricomycetes; Polyporales; Phaeolaceae.